Molecule: unclassified non-coding RNA, 293 nt
Filed under: uncultured Phacidiaceae
Lineage: Eukaryota; Fungi; Ascomycota; Leotiomycetes; Phacidiales; Phacidiaceae
Description: sequence contains ITS1
Rfam family: 5.8S ribosomal RNA (bases 1-105)
Source: RNAcentral
GAAAUGCGAUAAGUAAUGUGAAUUGCAGAAUUCAGUGAAUCAUCGAAUCUUUGAACGCACAUUGCGCCCCCUGGUAUUCCGGGGGGCAUGCCUGUUCGAGCGUCAUUACAACCCUCAAGCUCUGCUUGGUCUUGGGCGUCACCCCCCGGGUGCGCCUUAAAAUCAGUGGCGGUGCCGUCUGGCUUCAAGCGUAGUAUUACUCCUCGCUUGGGAGCCCGGGCGUGCGUCUUGCCAAAACCCCAUACUUCUUUUAGGUUGACCUCGGAUCAGGUAGGGAUACCCGCUGAACUUAA